CAGAGGUCCCAAGCGUUGUUCGGAUUCACUGGGCGUAAAGGGUGCGUAGGUGGCUUUGUAAGUUUGAUGUGAAAUCUCCGGGCUUAACCCGGAAAAUGCAUUGAAUACUACAGGGCUGGAGGAUUGGAGGGGGGACUGGAAUUCUCGGUGUAGCAGUGAAAUGCGUAGAUAUCGAGAGGAACACCAGUGGCGAAGGCGAGUCCCUGGACAACACCUGACACUGAGGCACGAAAGCUAGGGGAGCAAACAGGAUUAGAUACCCUGGUAGUCCUAGCCCUAAACGGUGCACGUUUGCUGUAAGAGGAAUCGACCCCUUUUGUGGCGAAGCUAACGCGAUAAACGUCCCGCCUGGGGAGUACGGCCGCAAGGUUG
This 372-nucleotide ribosomal RNA is filed under the name uncultured organism. RNAcentral describes it as "bacterial SSU rRNA". It matches the Rfam family "Bacterial small subunit ribosomal RNA", at positions 526 to 896 of the family's 1533-position model. The record is from RNAcentral.